This is an RNA transcript of Lontra canadensis (Northern American river otter), 2241 nucleotides long. It is a transcript of the gene named 3-ketodihydrosphingosine reductase, with no coding region annotated. The transcript has 11 exons. Lineage: Eukaryota; Metazoa; Chordata; Mammalia; Carnivora; Mustelidae. The record is from RefSeq and is a predicted model, not a curated record.
CCCGGCCCGGCCCGGCCCGGCCCCGCCGAGCGAUGCUGCUGCUGGCCGCCGCCUUCCUCGUGGCGUUCGUGCUGCUGCUCUACAUGGUGUCACCGCUCAUCAGCCCCAAGCCCCUCGCCCUGCCCGGGGCGCAUGUAGUGGUUACAGGGGGCUCCAGUGGUAUUGGAAAGUGUAUCGCUAUCGAGUGCUAUAAGCAAGGAGCGUUCAUAACUCUGGUGGCACGGAAUGAGGACAAGCUGCUGCAGGCAAAGAAAGAAAUUGAAAAGCACUCUAUUAAUGAUAAACAGGUGGUGCUUUGUAUAUCCGUUGACGUUUCUCAAGACUACAGCCAAGUAGAGAACGUCAUAAAACAAGCACAGGAGAAACUGGGCCCAGUAGACAUGCUUGUGAACUGUGCAGGAAUGUCACUUUCAGGAAAAUUUGAAGAUCUUGAAGUUAGUACUUUUGAGCGACUCAUGAGCGUCAACUACCUAGGCAGCGUGUACCCCAGCCGCGCCGUGAUCACCACCAUGAAGGAGCGCCGCGUGGGCAGGAUCGUCUUUGUCUCCUCCCAGGCGGGACAGCUGGGGUUAUUCGGCUUCACGGCCUACUCGUCCUCCAAGUUUGCCAUCAGGGGAUUGGCUGAAGCUUUGCAGAUGGAGGUGAAGCCAUACAACGUCUAUGUCACAGUUGCCUACCCGCCAGACACAGACACCCCUGGGUUUGCAGAAGAAAACAAAACCAAGCCUUUGGAGACUCGCCUGAUUUCAGAGACCGUAUCUGUUUGUAAACCGGAGCAAGUGGCCAAACAAAUUGUUAAAGACGCCAUACAAGGGAAUUUUAACAGUUCCAUUGGCUCCGACGGGUACAUGCUGUCGUCCCUGACCUGUGGAAUGGCUCCCGUAACUUCUAUCACUGAAGGGCUCCAGCAGGUGGUCACCAUGGGCCUGUUCCGCACCAUCGCGCUGUUUUACCUGGGAAGCUUCGACAGCAUCGUGCGUCGCUGCAUGAUGCAGAGAGCAAAAUCGGAAAUUGCAGACAAAACUGCCUAAUCCGUGCCCCUGGGGAAAAGACUGUUUCUAAAUAACUGAACAGCUUGCUGCUAAAAGGGACCCAGUUUUUGGCCUACAGACACCCAUGAGGACGCGGAGCUCACCCAUCCCAUUAGAGUGUCUUGUCAUUCUUCCCAUCUCUCCUGUUUUCCUGAUACUGCUAUAAUAUUUUUAUAUAUAAAAAAAAGACUAGUUAAAAUUUUUUGACUUGACUUUUUAAAUUAACUCAUGAAUUAAUUAAAACAGGUGAAAAAAAUUAAAAAGCGUGACAUUCUUCUGGUAGCAUAUAUGUAGCUUUUACGAAAGGCUGAUGAUCGUAUAUUUACAUUUUCCUCGUUAAGAGAAAGAAGAUAGGACAAAGCUGAUUUUGAAGAUACUCAUUUUUGAAAGAAAAUGAUCACCCAUUCUUUCUGUGACUCCCAUUUAAUCGGAGAACCUUCUCUGCACACCACGUUAAGGAAGCCCAGUCAUCACUCCCGCAACAUAAGCCCUGGGAUCCUCUCGGCCCCGUGAAUGUUGUUUUCACAUCACAGGCUCUGUUGCUCAGUUAGUGGAUUUCCACAAUAAGUGCCUCUCAUGGGUUUUGGCCAACAUUCCCUACUUCAUCCUGUCACUGUGUGCGCUCCCUACUUUGGGACAGUCCCCUUCAUCGUAAUGCUACGCCCCCUCCUUCCUGCACACACAGUAUGCAUAUACUGUGCAUACAAAAGAUUAAAGGCCUAAAAAUUACAGCAAACCUUCUUUUGCUCUUGAGUUUUUGAACCUCUUGACUUUAAGAUGACUUAAUUUUUUUAAAGUGAGAUAUUUAAUGGCUUUAAUCCUUGGCAUCCUUUUAAUGAGGAUCUGAGAAUGGCAUAUUUUAACACUGACCAAGAUGGAAGAAAUUAUUUAAUAUAGAAGUUGCUUGGUUAUGACUUCAUUGCAGUUUGUGGGGGUGGGUGGAUGCCCUCACAGUUUCAUGAAUCUCUCUGUCUUCUGUAGCCAUCGUUUGCAAACUACAUUAGGUCAUACCUCGCAGCCUCUUAAGAUAGAAUAAUGGCUCUAUUUCCCUAAUUUGCGGAAAACAGUUACACAUUAAUGUCUGGCUAUUUUUCACUUUUAUUUUUCCUGGUGAAUAUUCCUUGUUGGCACCUCCAACUGCUGGUCCAGAUGAAAAUCUAGCCCAAGAUGGUGUCUCGUUUAGUACGAUUAUUGGACCACAAUUACUUCC